GGGAAGAGGGUGAGUCUUAAUCGUGCAGUUAAUCGCGUGACAAGGGAGCUGACUCAUUUCCUCCUCUGACAAUAAUUCACAGGAUUAUUUUUCACUCAGGAAACUGGGACAGGAGGUCGAAAUCUAUGUACCCAAUGGCGUCAGCUCAGCCAGAGUCCCGAUAGGAUUUGGUAUUAAGUUGAAAAAAAAAAAAAAAAAGCCACAAGUGGGCACUGUGCCUCUGUACACGUGAGACGAAGGUGUCUCAGAGGGGAGAGUGGCUAAAAGACUAGCAAGGGCAGCUCAGCCAGAGUUGUCUCUGUCACUCAAGUGCCCCAUGACCACCUCCUUGGUAACUGAUGAAGGAAGAUGGGUUAGAUUCCGUGCCCCAUGCCUGUGGGAGCCUUGCAGUGUUGACCAUGAGACGAAGGCCAGAGAUGCUUUCACGGUCAUUCUCUGAGGGAAGGUGACUGGGCUUCAGGCUGCUUUCUUAUUAAAGACUUUUUUUAUUAAGUUCAAGUCCAGGUCUGAAGAAAAAUGGGGUAGAAAUUCCAUUUUAAACCCCGACUGGUCCACUCUGUAGGAGCCCUGGUAGGCCGGAGUCUUCCACACUUAAGGUUCAGCUUCAAAUUACAACUCCUAAGGUCCGCUAAACCUAAAUUCCAUAUGUGCAAAAGAUAGAUGCCAGGAAGAAUGAAAAUUGGAAAACAGAAGAACCUGCUAUGGAGAUAUUGUGUCCCCACAAAUCAUAUAUUGAAGUUUUACCUCUUGAAGCGAUAUUUGAAGGCGAGACCUUUGAGAGGGCCCAUGGAAACCAGAAGAGGGUGUCAGGCCCCCAGGACCUGGACUUACAAUCACGUGUAAGCUGACAUGUGGCUGUUGGAAACUGAAUCCAGUCCUCCCAAAGAGCAGCUCAACGCUCUAAACCACUGAGCCAUCUCUCCAGUCCUUGUCUAAACCACUGAGUGAUCUCUCCAGUCCUCAUCUUUCUUUUUUCUUUUCUUUUCUUUACAUUAAAUUUAUCUUAUAUGUAGGAGUGCUUUGCCUACUUAUGUUCUUUGCAGCAUGUGCUGACUGGUGUUCUCAGAGGCCAGAGGUGUCAGAUCCCCUGGAACUGAAGUUACAGGUGGUUGUUAGUUGCCGUGUAGAUGCUAUGAAUCAAACCUAGGCCCAGGGACAGGUUGGCAGUGUCACUUGCCUUUAUGGGAGGUGGAGGCAGGUGGA
Molecule: small RNA, 1203 nt
Filed under: Rattus norvegicus (Norway rat)
Lineage: Eukaryota; Metazoa; Chordata; Mammalia; Rodentia; Muridae
Description: uncharacterized LOC102554564
Source: RNAcentral